UUAAUCAAUAGCUGCUCCUCUCGCAAUCAAAACAGGAUUAUGUUUCUUAUAUUGCUCUUCCUUAGGAAUAGCAGUGAUCCAUGAAUUGAUGGGGGCUGUACCCAAAGGGGAGGUGCUGUCCCACGUGUCCAGGGAUAGCCAUGAGGGUUCAUUCCAGCUUUUAUUUCCAAUUCUGUCUCAGAUCUAUGACCUGACCACAGAACAUGUGAUGCCCUUUUUAUACUCCUGAAAAAAUAGAUCCCAGUUGUCUCACAGCUUUCUCCAGUUGUUAAAGAUCUUCAUGACUGAACAAGGCAGGAAGAAGUUUGUUUCUUCUGAUAAUGGCGCAAUAAAUUCUCUUUCUCUGAAAGA
This is a long non-coding RNA of Serinus canaria (Common canary), 351 nucleotides long. RefSeq lists it as uncharacterized. The record is from RefSeq and is a predicted model, not a curated record. NCBI's taxonomy places the organism in Eukaryota, Metazoa, Chordata, Aves, Passeriformes, Fringillidae. The transcript is spliced from 2 exons.